Molecule: long non-coding RNA, 698 nt
Filed under: Rattus norvegicus (Norway rat)
Lineage: Eukaryota; Metazoa; Chordata; Mammalia; Rodentia; Muridae
Description: long non-coding RNA NONRATT016262
Source: RNAcentral
UCCUCUGUUUGCUGGUCCAUUGUUGCUGUUCUAUUGCCAUAUAUACAUAAGUAUCUUAUAUAGCUAUAUAAAAUAUACAAACCACAAAUGAGGAAAUGUGAUAUUUGUUUUUCUGACCGACUUAACUUUCUUAAUAUGAUCAUCUCCAAUUGCACACAUUUCCUGAAAACAACAUAUUUCUCUAGCACUCCUCUAUUGUUAGAUACCUACAUUGGCCCUAUGACUUAGUCUUAUGACUAGUGCUGCGGUAAACACUGAUGUGCCAGGAUGUCUGUGUUAUACUGGCUUGGACAAACACCCGGGAGCUGAAUAGUUGGUUAAUGCAGAAGAUCCCCUAUAGGCUUUGAGGAGUAUCAGUAUUGAUUUCCAUUGUAGCUGGGUUAGUUUGCAUUCUCACUAACAGUGUGCAAGGUUUCUUUUUGUCAUAUUACUACCACUUGUUGGUAUUGAUUUUUAUAAUUGCUUUCAUUUCCUGAAAACAAUGGAAUGGAAUGGGUUGAAAUGAACUCUUAAUGUAAUAUUAAUUUGCAUUUCUCUGAUGCUCCUUUGUAUUUCAUCUCUUGAAAACUAUUUGUUCAAUUCAUUAGGUAAUUUUUGUUGGAUCGUUUGAUUUCAUUUUUUUAGGUCUUCGUAUGUUCUAUAUAUUAGUGUUCUAUGAGAAGUCAAGUAACUAUUAAAGAUUUUAACGCAUGUACCAA